CGGUUGAUCCUGCCGGACCCGACUGCUAUUUGGGUGAGAAUAAGCCAUGCGAGUUGAAUGGGAUACCUAAAUUUCCCAUAGCAAACUGCUUAGCAUCACAUGAUCAACUUGCCCUAUGGAGAAAAAUAACCUCGGGAAACUGAGGAUAAUGUUUCAUAGUUGAAAAGGCUUGGAAAAGUUUUUCAAUGAAAGGAAUAAGAAAAAUGGGUCUUAUUCGCCAUAGGAUAGGAUCGUGGUCGAUUAUGGUAGUUGGUGAGGUAACGGCUCACCAAGCCGAUAAUCGAUAGGGGCCGUGAGAGCGGGAGCCCUAAGAUGGGUACUGAGACAGCGACCCAGGCCUUACGAGGCGCAGCAGGCGCGAAACCUCCGCAAUACACGAAAGUGUGAUGGGGUUACCCAAAGUGUUCUCUUUAGAACUGUGGUAGGUGAGUAAUGUCCCCUACUAGAAAGGAGAGGGCAAGGCUGGUGCCAGCCGCCGCGGUAAAACCAGCUCUUCAAGUGGUCGGGAUAAUUAUUGGGCUUAAAGUGUCCGUAGCCGGUUUAGUUAGUUCCUGGUAAAAUCGGGUAGCUUAACUAUCUGCAUGCUAGGAAUACUGCUAUACUAGAGGGCGGGAGAAGUCUGAGGUACUACAGGGGUAGGGGUGAAAUCUUAUAAUCCUUGUAGGACCACCAGUGGCGAAGGCGUCAGACUGGAACGCGCCUGACGGUGAGGGACGAAAGCCAGGGGAGCGAACCGGAUUAGAUACGUCGGUGCUAGAUUAAUCUAAUAAGAUCUAACAUCACGCUAAAAACCCGGGUAGUCCUGGCCGUGAACGAUGCAUACUAGGUGAUGGUACGGCCAUGAGCCGUAACAGUGCCGUAGGGAAACCGUUAAGUGUGCCGCCUGGGAAGUACGGUCGCAAGGCUAAAACUUAAAGGAAUUGGCGGGGGAGCAC
RNAcentral lists this ribosomal RNA (935 nucleotides) under uncultured archaeon. RNAcentral describes it as "bacterial SSU rRNA". It matches the Rfam family "Archaeal small subunit ribosomal RNA", at positions 5 to 879 of the family's 1478-position model. The record is from RNAcentral.